RNAcentral lists this long non-coding RNA (215 nucleotides) under Brassica napus (rape). Its description in RNAcentral is "long non-coding RNA (BNAP_LNC023393)". Lineage: Eukaryota; Viridiplantae; Streptophyta; Magnoliopsida; Brassicales; Brassicaceae. The record is from RNAcentral.
CUUGAUCAACAAACCCAAAAAGAAGAAAAUGGUGAAAAGAAAAAAAAAGCUGGAUAGAUCUCGAUGAUCGUUGAUUCUGAAGAAUGGCCGUUCGUCGAGGAUUCUUGAUAACCGUUGAUUCGUGAAGAAUACCCGAUAACAAGGAAGAUGAAAAAUAUAAAGUUUUUGAUACCACAAAGUGGUCCGGAUCAAAAACAAAACAUGCUCUGAUACCA